Molecule: non-coding RNA, 70 nt
Organism: Phrynosoma platyrhinos (Desert horned lizard)
Lineage: Eukaryota; Metazoa; Chordata; Lepidosauria; Squamata; Phrynosomatidae
Source: the annotation of a GenBank genome assembly
GCCAGCGUGGUGUAGUGGUUGAGUGUUGCACUAUGACUCUGGAGAUCAGGGUUCAAAUCCCUGCUUGUCC